This 1222-nucleotide ribosomal RNA is filed under the name metagenome. RNAcentral's name for it is "bacterial SSU rRNA". It matches the Rfam family "Bacterial small subunit ribosomal RNA", at positions 278 to 1498 of the family's 1533-position model. The record is from RNAcentral.
GAUCUGUAGCUGGUCUGAGAGGAUGACCAGCCACACUGGGACUGAGACACGGCCCAGAUUCCUACGGGAGGCAGCAGUGAGGAAUUUUGGACAAUGGACGAAAGUCUGAUCCAGCCAUGCCGCGUGCGGGAAGAAGGCCUUCGGGUUGUAAACCGCUUUUGUCAGGGAAGAAACGGCUUUUUCUAAUACAGAGAGCUAAUGACGGUACCUGAAGAAUAAGCACCGGCUAACUACGUGCCAGCAGCUGCGGUAAUACGUAGGGUGCAAGCGUUAAUCGGAAUUACUGGGCGUAAAGCGUGCGCAGGCGGUUAUGCAAGACAGAGGUGAAAUCCCCGGGCUCAACCUGGGAACUGCCUUUGUGACUGCAUAGCUAGAGUACGGUAGAGGGGGAUGGAAUUCCGCGUGUAGCAGUGAAAUGCGUAGAUAUGCGGUGGAAUACCGAUGGUGAAGGCAAUCCCCUGGACCUGUACUGACGCUCAUGCACGAAAGCGUGGGGAGUAAAUAGGAUUAGAUAUCCUGGUAGUCCACGCCCUAAACGAUGUCAACUGGUUGUUGGGAGGGUUUCUUCUCAGUAACGUAGCUAAUGCGUGAAGUUGACCGCCUGGGGAGUACGGCCGCAAGGUUGAAACUCAAAGGAAUUGACGGGGACCCGCACAAGCGGUGGAUGAUGUGGUUUAAUUCGAUGCAACGCGAAAAACCUUACCUACCCUUGACAUGUCUAGAAGUUACCAGAGAUGGUUUCGUGCUCGAAAGAGAACUAGAACACAGGUGCUGCAUGGCCGUCGUCAGCUCGUGUCGUGAGAUGUUGGGUUAAGUCCCGCAACGAGCGCAACCCUUGUCAUUAGUUGCUAUGUAAGGGCACUCUAAUGAGACUGCCGGUGACAAACCGGAGGAAGGUGGGGAUGACGUCAGGUCAUCAUGGCCCUUAUGGGUAGGGCUACACACGUCAUACAAUGGCCGGGACAGAGGGCUGCCAACCCGCGAGGGGGAGCUAAUCCCAGAAACCCGGUCGUAGUCCGGAUCGCAGUCUGUAACUCGACUGCGUGAAGUCGGAAUCGCUAGUAAUCGCGGAUCAGCUUGCCGCGGUGAAUACGUUCCCGGGUCUUGUAUACACCGCCCGUCACACCAUGGGAGCGGGUUCUGCCAGAAGUAGUUAGCCUAACCGCAAGGAGGGCGAUUACCACGGCAGGGUUCGUGACUGGGGUGAAGUCGUAACAAGGUA